GAUGAACGCUCGCGGCAGGCCUAACACAUGCAAGUCGAGGGAGAAGCCCUUUCGGGGGCAGAAACCGGCGCACGGGUGCGUAACGCGUAUGCAACCUACCUUUCACAGGGGGAUAGCCCGAAGAAAUUUGGAUUAAUACCCCAUAAUAUUAUUGGAUGGCAUCAUUUGAUAAUUAAAACUGCGGUGGUGAAAGAUGGGCAUGCGUCCUAUUAGCUAGUUGGAGUGGUAACGGCACCCCAAGGCUACGAUAGGUAGGGGUCCUGAGAGGGAGAUCCCCCACACUGGUACUGAGACAGGGACCAGACUCCUACGGGAGGCAGCAGUGAGGAAUAUUGGUCAAUGGUCGGAAGACUGAACCAGCCAUGCCGCGUGCAGGAAGAAUGCCUUAUGGGUUGUAAACUGCUUUUAUAUGGGAAGAAUAAGGCGUACGUGUACGUUGAUGACGGUACCAUAUGAAUAAACAUCGGCUAACUCCGU
RNAcentral lists this ribosomal RNA (477 nucleotides) under uncultured bacterium. RNAcentral's name for it is "partial 16S ribosomal RNA". It matches the Rfam family "Bacterial small subunit ribosomal RNA", at positions 28 to 506 of the family's 1533-position model. The record is from RNAcentral.